UUUUUAGUAUAAGUAUAUUCCAUGCAAUGUUUGGGACAUACUUACACGAAAA
This 52-nucleotide microRNA precursor is filed under the name Pongo abelii (Sumatran orangutan). Its description in RNAcentral is "mir-1302 microRNA precursor family". It matches the Rfam family "mir-1302 microRNA precursor family". The record is from Rfam by way of RNAcentral. Lineage: Eukaryota; Metazoa; Chordata; Mammalia; Primates; Hominidae.